AGCUGUAUGGAAUAAUAUAUAGUAAUUUCUGCUCCAUGAACAUUAAAUAGCCGCAGUACCCUGACUGUGCAAAGGUAGCAUAAUCAGUUGGCUUUUAAUUAAAGUCUGGUAUGAAUGAAAAUAUGGGUGGUAACUGUCUCUAGCAUACUAGUUAGAACUUUUUAAGCAAGUGAAAAUACUUGCGAAUUUCAAAAAGACGAGAAGACCCUAGAAACUUGAAUUAGUUUUUGUUGGGGCGACAGAAUUACAGUUAACUAAUUUUCAUUGACAUGACACGUGGUUGAAAGAAUAAGUUACUCUAGGGAUAACAGCAUAAUUUUAAUAGUUUGUGACCUCGAUGUUGGACUAGGUAUUGUACCCUUUAGGCAAGGGUACAGGAUGCUCUGUUCGAGCAAUUUUACCUACAU
RNAcentral lists this ribosomal RNA (407 nucleotides) under Helix pronuba. Its description in RNAcentral is "partial 16S ribosomal RNA". It matches the Rfam family "Bacterial large subunit ribosomal RNA", at positions 1829 to 2601 of the family's 2925-position model. The record is from RNAcentral. Lineage: Eukaryota; Metazoa; Mollusca; Gastropoda; Stylommatophora; Helicidae.